GCAAUGGUGGUUCAGUGGUAGAAUUCUCACUUCCCAUAUGGGAGACCCAGGUUCGAAUCCUGGCCAAUGCA
Molecule: transfer RNA, 71 nt
Filed under: Loxodonta africana (African savanna elephant)
Lineage: Eukaryota; Metazoa; Chordata; Mammalia; Proboscidea; Elephantidae
Rfam family: tRNA
About the family: Transfer RNA (tRNA) molecules are approximately 80 nucleotides in length. Their secondary structure includes four short double-helical elements and three loops (D, anti-codon, and T loops).
Source: Rfam by way of RNAcentral